RNAcentral lists this ribosomal RNA (492 nucleotides) under uncultured bacterium. RNAcentral describes it as "bacterial SSU rRNA". It matches the Rfam family "Bacterial small subunit ribosomal RNA", at positions 903 to 1397 of the family's 1533-position model. The record is from RNAcentral.
AAAGGAAUUGACGGGGGCCCGCACAAGCAGUGGAGUAUGUGGUUUAAUUCGAAGCAACGCGAAGAACCUUACCAGGUCUUGACAUCCUAGGACCGCCUAAGAGAUUAGGUUUUCCCUUCGGGGACUUAGUGACAGGUGGUGCAUGGUUGUCGUCAGCUCGUGUCGUGAGAUGUUGGGUUAAGUCCCGCAACGAGCGCAACCCUUAUUUUUAGUUGCUACAUUCAGUUGAGCACUCUAGAGAGACUGCCGUUGACAAAACGGAGGAAGGUGGGGAUGACGUCAAAUCAUCAUGCCCCUUAUGACCUGGGCUACACACGUACUACAAUGGCUAUUAACAAAGGGAAGCAAAGCCGCGAGGUGGAGCAAAUCCCCAAAAAUAGUCUCAGUUCGGAUUGUAGGCUGAAACUCGCCUAUAUGAAGUCGGAAUUGCUAGUAAUCGUAGAUCAGCAUGCUACGGUGAAUACGUUCCCGGGCCUUGUACACACCGCCCGU